Molecule: unclassified non-coding RNA, 518 nt
Filed under: uncultured Glomeromycotina
Lineage: Eukaryota; Fungi; Glomeromycota
Description: SSU rRNA
Rfam family: Eukaryotic small subunit ribosomal RNA
Source: RNAcentral
AGCCGCGGUAAUUCCAGCUCCAAUAGCGUAUAUUAAAGUUGUUGCAGUUAAAAAGCUCGUAGUUGAAUUUCGGGAUCAGUUGGUCGGUCGUGCCUCGGUACGUACUGGUCAAAUUGAUUCCUACCUUCUGACGAACCACGAUGUCAUUAAUUUGGUGUCGUGGGGAAUCAGGACUGUUACUUUGAAAAAAUUAGAGUGUUUAAAGCAGGCUCGCGCUUGAAUACAUUAGCAUGGAAUAAUGAAAUAGGACGUUUGAUUCUAUUUUGUUGGUUUCUAGGAUCGACGUAAUGAUUAAUAGGGAUAGUUGGGGGCAUUAGUAUUCAAUUGUCAGAGGUGAAAUUCUUGGAUUUAUUGAAGACUAACUACUGCGAAAGCAUUUGCCAAGGAUGUUUUCAUUAAUCAAGAACGAAAGUUAGGGGAUCGAAGACGAUCAGAUACCGUCGUAGUCUUAACCAUAAACUAUGCCGACUAGGGAUCGGAUGAUGUUAAUUUUUUAAUGACUCAUUCGGCGCCUUACG